GAUGAACGCUGGCGGCGUGACUAAUACAUGCAAGUCGAGCGAACGGACGAGAAGCUUGCUUCUCUGAUGUUAGCGGCGGACGGGUGAGUAACACGUGGAUAACCUACCUAUAAGACUGGGAUAACUUCGGGAAACCGGAGCUAAUACCGGAUAAUAUUUUGAACCGCAUGGUUCAAAAGUGAAAGACGGUCUUGCUGUCACUUAUAGAUGGAUCCGCGCUGCAUUAGCUAGUUGGUAAGGUAACGGCUUACCAAGGCAACGAUGCAUAGCCGACCUGAGAGGGUGAUCAGCCACACUGGAACUGAGACACGGUCCAGACUCCUACGGGAGGCAGCAGUAGGGAAUCUUCCGCAAUGGGCGAAAGCCUGACGGAGCAACGCCGCGUGAGUGAUGAAGGUCUUCGGAUCGUAAAACUCUGUUAUUAGGGAAGAACAUAUGUGUAAGUAACUGUGCACAUCUUGACGGUACCUAAUCAGAAAGCCACGGCUAACUACGUG
This 497-nucleotide ribosomal RNA is filed under the name uncultured bacterium. RNAcentral describes it as "partial 16S ribosomal RNA". It matches the Rfam family "Bacterial small subunit ribosomal RNA", at positions 28 to 507 of the family's 1533-position model. The record is from RNAcentral.